RNAcentral lists this ribosomal RNA (209 nucleotides) under Staphylococcus aureus. RNAcentral's name for it is "partial 16S ribosomal RNA". It matches the Rfam family "Bacterial small subunit ribosomal RNA", at positions 1326 to 1533 of the family's 1533-position model. The record is from RNAcentral. Lineage: Bacteria; Bacillati; Bacillota; Bacilli; Caryophanales; Staphylococcaceae. RNAcentral also lists the same sequence under 1 other name.
CUGGAAUCGCUAGUAAUCGUAGAUCAGCAUGCUACGGUGAAUACGUUCCCGGGUCUUGUACACACCGCCCGUCACACCACGAGAGUUUGUAACACCCGAAGCCGGUGGAGUAACCUUUUAGGAGCUAGCCGUCGAAGGUGGGACAAAUGAUUGGGGUGAAGUCGUAACAAGGUAGCCGUAUCGGAAGGUGCGGCUGGAUCACCUCCUUU